CGGAGGGAUAUUACCGAGUUAUCAACUCAUCAACCCUGUGAACAUACCUAAACGUUGCUUCGGCGGGAACAGACGGCCCCGUAACACGGGCCGCCCCCGCCAGAGGACCCCCUAACUCUGUUUCUAUAAUGUUUCUUCUGAGUAAAACAAGCAAAUAAAUUAAAACUUUCAACAACGGAUCUCUUGGCUCUGGCAUCGAUGAAGAACGCAGCGAAAUGCGAUAAGUAAUGUGAAUUGCAGAAUUCAGUGAAUCAUCGAAUCUUUGAACGCACAUUGCGCCCGCCAGUAUUCUGGCGGGCAUGCCUGUUCGAGCGUCAUUACAACCCUCAGGCCCCCGGGCCUGGCGUUGGGGAUCGGCGGAGCCCCCUGCGGGCACACGCCGUCCCCCAAAUACAGUGGCGGUCCCGCCGCAGCUUCCAUUGCGUAGUAGCUAACACCUCGCAACUGGAGAGCGGCGCGGCCACGCCGUAAAACCCCCAACUUCUGAACGUUGACCUCGAAUCAGGUAGGAAUACCCGCUGAACUUAAGCAUAUAA
RNAcentral lists this small RNA (536 nucleotides) under Fusarium solani. Its description in RNAcentral is "eukaryotic LSU rRNA". The stretch from base 164 to 317 matches the Rfam family "5.8S ribosomal RNA". The record is from RNAcentral. Lineage: Eukaryota; Fungi; Ascomycota; Sordariomycetes; Hypocreales; Nectriaceae.